This 274-nucleotide ribosomal RNA is filed under the name uncultured bacterium. RNAcentral describes it as "partial 16S ribosomal RNA". It matches the Rfam family "Bacterial small subunit ribosomal RNA", at positions 523 to 796 of the family's 1533-position model. The record is from RNAcentral.
AUACAGAGGGUGCGAGCGUUAAUCGGAAUUACUGGGCGUAAAGCGCGCGUAGGCGGCUUAUUAAGUCAGAUGUGAAAUCCCCGGGCUCAACCUGGGAACUGCAUCUGAUACUGGUAAGCUCGAGUUUUGGAGAGGGAAGUAGAAUUUCAGGUGUAGCGGUGAAAUGCAUAGAGAUCUGAAGGAAUACCAGUGGCGAAGGCGACUUCCUGGCCAAAAACUGACGCUGCGGUGCGAAAGCGUGGGUAGCAAACGGGAUUAGAAACCCCAGUAGUCC